UUUCGACUUUAUUAUCGAGUUUACACCAUAUGUACCUUUUAGUCGACAGCUGACAACCCCCAUCCAGACCCUCUCAUAAUAAUUGACAUAUUGUUCCUCGCAAGUAUAGAGAACUUAAAACCAUUGCACAAAUUAAAGCCCUGUUGUGUACAGGAGGGCAAAGUAGGGGAGACAGAUAGAGUGCAUGUUUGCACUGAGAUUUUAAUCGCCAUUUUUCCUUUAGCGACCAACCUCAAGAGCAUUUGACCCUGGCCCCUGUGGGUGUUACCACUCAGUUGAUGGUUUCUGAAAGUAAUGAGCAUCGCAGCCUGGAAACCGAAGAAUCCACCUUAUUAUAUGACGACAUCGACCCGUUUUCACCUGGAAUGAUGGUGCCUAGCGACAGUGGCCAAACUCCUGAAUAUACGCAAGUGUCCGGCGCUUGUUCUCAUAUCUAUACGCCACUGGAGAAAAGAGAAGAGGGAGAACACGAAUACGUCAAUCAAAUAGAGACUCCCGAGUACAUGAAUACUUACAUGCCUCUCUCUGAAGGAGACAACCCUAAGAUGUAGGCCGACAAUUCUCUUGCGUAUGCAUCGGUUUUGAAGUCUGAAAAAGAUUAGGGAGACGAUGAAUACGUACAUGAAGAGAUUCGGAGAAACGUAUUGCAAAUUUCAACACUAAAACGUUGUAUAAACGCAUAAAACUUUUUAAGUUGAAGGGGAAAACCCGUUUUCACAUACAGUGAUGAUGCUCACUGAUACCGGUGAACAUCUCAAUCAAAUACAGGUUUCUUAGUACCUCACAAAUGGUUACCUAUCUGUAAUUUAGGGCAUAUAGAGAAAUAAAAUUCCUUGAAUAGUGCUGA
Stylophora pistillata is the source of this 847-nucleotide long non-coding RNA. The record is from RefSeq and is a predicted model, not a curated record. NCBI's taxonomy places the organism in Eukaryota, Metazoa, Cnidaria, Anthozoa, Scleractinia, Pocilloporidae.